Molecule: long non-coding RNA, 907 nt
Organism: Neopsephotus bourkii (Bourke's parrot)
Lineage: Eukaryota; Metazoa; Chordata; Aves; Psittaciformes; Psittacidae
Exons: 2
Source: RefSeq, a predicted model, not a curated record
CCAACUUCUUAGUUCUCAAUGCCUGUUUCUAGGUUGAAUUUUGAAUUGUGACUGCUAUCUUACAAAAUGAUAACCAGAUCUUAAUUAUUCAAGUUGGUUGGAUAGGCUUUAUUUUGGUUUAAUGAGGAGAUUUCGAGCCAUAUAGUGUUACUGAUACAGGAAUUCGAAGCAAGUUUGGUCUCAGAACCUGGCAUCCUCCAUAAUGUGGAAUGGAGUGUUUAUAAGUGAGGUUGUAACCUGCUUAGUUCAAGUUUAUUUUCCUGAAAAUAAAGAAAAGUCAUUACAGAGAUCUCCAGAACUGGCAAAUACACCCUCUGCCACCCCUUGUUCUGGUGUAUUCACUGGUCACCUCCUUGCUUCUUCAUUUCAGUCUGGAUGCUCAGAAACAAAGUGAAGCCUGUGAAGUGCUUUGGAAUGUUUUGGUCCAGAAGUUACAGAUGGGACAGUUAGAAACAGUGACGACUCCGAGAUUGUCUCUCAAUGACACUACUACUGUUUUGCAACCAUAUGCAAGCCCUAGAGAGGAAAGUGAGCUGGAGACACUGGGAGCUUUAAAGGGGACAUUUUUGCUUCAUUUGCUUUGUGUCAGCUCCCUUCCUCUUGGAUGAGGCACUUACACUCUCAUGCUGUCAGGAACAAUCUGUGGGCAUCUGCAUGUGCAUGUGAGAGAUACAGUGACAUGGACCAUCCUGCGGGAUCACAUCCUAGUGAACAGCGCUCCAGUUUGUGGGGCUCUCCACAUGAUAGAAAAGAAGAAAUGCUUUAUAGAAUGCACUGACGUGUUAUGUAUAAACGUACAAUGUGUGUGGUAUAUACAUCUGUAAAUUAUAUUCCAUACGUUUGUUAAUGAUGACUGCAUAAACAUAGAACACUUGUGUAUCUUUAUCAAACAUGAGUGAAAAUCUCA